AGAAGAGCCAUAAGAGAAAUUAGCAAGAGCUGACUUUCAUCCCAGGGAGUGGAAGCAUGAAAACUAGGACUGUAGUGAGAAAGCCCAUGAGAUAAAGUUGAAGUAUUUAAGGCUGAGGGAAGUUCUGUGCUCAUGCAUUCAUGUUGAAUCUUUCUCCCCAGAGUUUUGAGGGGAGAGAUUCUGGAUCUUUUCUAUAGUGAGGAAAGAAAGUCUACUUCCUGCUGAAGAAAGGCACCUUACUGGCUUCAGGUCUGGAUAUAGCUUGUCUGCUAGAAGCAGGUCAUGAUCCCCUAUAGUAGCUCUGGAAUCUAUGCUGUAUUAGAAAAAAUGGUCCCGGAGAACUGGUACUUCAAUAAUUUGACUCAAAUAAAAUUGUAUGGCUUCUGAGUUUCCACAUCUAUUAUGUAAUUCUGUUGUUCCUUAAAUAUGGCCUUCUCUCUAGGGAGAUCACAUUUACCAAGGCCUAUUUCAAAAGAUAUAAAUCAAAACCCAGGAAUUGAAGAUAUAAGUCAAAACCUGGGAAACAUCUUUCAGUUGGGUCAAAGUCCCAGUGAAUUUGAGGAGGAAAGAAAUAAAUUAUCAGUCCUCUUGCUGCUGAUUCUUUGCUGUGGAAAAGCCUUUUGUUUACUCUGUUGGCAAUCACUGGAUUGAUUCAGAAAAAUUACACCUUUAAUUUCCCUUUGGAAAUAUUUGCAACAAUGAAGAGGAGAAUCUACUUUUCCUAAGCCUGACAGCCUCCUUGAUGUGUCUGUGAUUAAAGAACCACUGAGAAGCCUAAGUAGAUGCCAUUGCAAUUAGAGACUGUGGGAGGAGAGUGAAGACAGGCUGCAUCUUCUCCUUCCUCACAUCUUCUCAUUGGAUCCAGAGUGGAAAGAGGGCAGUUAGGACAUGACCAGCCUUGGAUGAGACUGUGAGCCAAUCAUAGGAAGAUUAUUAAAAUACCAUAGAAAAUAAAGAUGCAGAACAACCAACCUUUAUGUCAGGAUCUGCAGAUUACUUGCAUCAUUCUAUCACUUCUCAUGAAUUAUACACUAAAGCCCAUUAUAGAGGUACCUUGGUACUUAUUGUUAAUAAGUAAGACAAGUGUGCUGUGCUUCUUCCAUCUUUAAAAUGGGCAUACUAGUCCUCCUUUUGUAGGUUUGCUGUGAUCAUUAAGAGAGUCAAAUGCAUAUGAAGCACUUAAGAUAGGUCUAGAGCAGUGGUGGCGAACCUAUGGCACAUGUGUUACUUAUUUUUCUUUUAAGACAAAGGAUGUUAACGUACGAGUUGUUUUUUCUAAACUAAAACUUCAUUAUUCAAGUUUAAUUGCAGUAUUGACACUGCGAUAAAUAAGCAGGUUAUGGGUUGCAGUUUGGGCACUUGUCUCUAAAAGAUUCAUCAUCACUGGUCUGGAGGCAGUCUUGGAAUUAAGUACCAUAUAUGUAUUUCUUGUUGAAGUACAGUAGAGAGUGAUGUUAUUUGUGUUGCAUGCUGGAAUAAAUGGGGAAUAUGAUUUUCUAGUGUCUAUAGGGGGCUUGUUGAAAAAUUUCUGGUGUAUUAUGUAAUUAAUAUAUGUAAAAACACAAACAAGAAAAGCUUCUUUAAAUUUACAUAAUAUAUUCACAUAAAAUAAUUUUUAAAAUGCAACGUAAAAUUGCACUUAUCUGUCAUGGUGGACAGAAAUCUUUGCAAAAAUGGUUGGAGGUAAACAGUUCAGGAACUUUGCUUAAGGGCCUUAAGGGUCAAAAUAACAAUUAUGAAUUCAGGAAGUUUUUAGAGGGAGUCAUUUAAAUCAUGCCUUAAGAGAAUUUCAAUCAUUGCAAGGUUUUCAAAUGGUAGUUUAAAGAAGAUUGAAUAUUCUGGCCAUUAUGAAGAGGUAGAGGCCCUCACACCUCUUGGCCACUUGGAGCUUGCUUUUGACCUGUGCUGGCUGGCCAGAACUCGGCAGUUUGCAAGCUCUCCCAUACACCACUGCUACUUGAUAUAUGAGUGAGACAACUGUUCCUUUUCAAAAGCACAUUACUAAAUUAUCUUGGUCCACAAAGGAGGACCCAAACUGGGCCUUUGUAGGAGGAACUAUUUGAGGCCCUUUCUGAGCAGUCACUUCACACUGCACAAACGGGCAGAGGAAAGGGUGGCUUGAGCAGCUAUGGCUCAGAACAGCAGCAGGGAGGACAUUAGGCAAGGACCCAUUUAUAGGGGAUUGUGCUGGCCAGGAGCUACCAGAUGAGGCUGUAGGCCGAUUUGUCUCUCUGAAACCUGUACCUGAGCUGCUUUCCUCCAGUCAACUGCAGUCCAGAAUUAAACUGAGCUUGUUUUCCUUACCCUUCCUCACUAUGCAGUCUGAAGAGCUCCAGUGGAUUUUUUAAAAUAUGAAAUUAAAUCUUCUCUUGCCCCUAUCUGAAUAAUUCUAUGCUUCUUAUUAUUGUUUCCCUGCCGUGAACUCAAGGAAGAACUGCAUGUUCCAGCCAAGCCUAAUGAUUGUUUUAUAAAUAUUUAUAAGUCAGUUACUAUCUUCCUUUCUUUCUUCCCCCUUCCUAGCUAUACAUUAUUUGAAGGCCCAUUCUUCCUUUCCUAGGAGCUCUUUGGCAUUUUUCUGGGCUGGGAGAGUGUUCUGGGUUUGACAUUUUUCUUUGAUUUGCUUGCCUGUAUGUUGGGAGUAUUUGUUGAGAAGCUUCAUCCCGAAGUAUUUAAAGUUGGCUUCCUGAGGCUACCUCAUUGUUCACAUGUGCCAAAACCGAACCUAAGCCUCUAUGUAGAGAUUUAUGUUCUUCUGCAGAAGAGAGAACCUAUUUAGCAAAUUCAUUUAUCAACAGAGGGAACUUCACUCUCAUUCUCUGGUUAUCUCUGUAUCUUUUGUCUAUUUUUAAAAAUAGAUCAGAACUGGUGAGGGUAGCGAAAGUGGAAAAGUCAAGCAUUGAAACCAAUGACCAGUUGUAUGUAUCAAGUCUUGUUCCUGGAAAGACUGUUCAUUUUCUGGCAAUGAAUGGCAUCCCAUCUAUGGAUUUUGAAAGCAUGCCCAAGUGGCCAGAGCCCUCAGAAAGUGAUGCCAACCUAAUCAGAUGGAGUUAAAUGUUCCAGAAAUAUUGUAGAAGAUUGAUUUCCUUUUAAAAUUCUAAACAUGGAAUUAGUAUAGGCGGUAAUUGCUAAAUAAAUGUAGGCAUAGUAUCUGGUACCAAUAGGGUCUCGUGCUGAUUAUGAUGGGAUAAUGUCAAAGCAAGGGAGGGCACUAUGGAACUGAUAGGUCCUUCAGAGUGUCUCCACCUUAACCAGAACUUGAUUUCUUACUUGGCAGAUGUGCCUGGAGCCAUGACUAUUGUAUUAAGAUCUUCCAGGGAACCAAUCAAUGGGGAUUUGCUUUCCCAUGCUACUUUACUGGGAGAACUGUUAGGCAACAGGGGUGCAUAAUCUUCAUAAUAGUAACAUCACCAGAAGAACAGCAUCAACAGUAAGAGUAGGAACAUGUCAAGUUUCUACUUUGUAUAUGCAAAGGGCUUAUCUUAUGUUCUCUCAUUUUACAAUGAUGCUGGGGAAACACUGUACUCAGAUAAAAAUAUUUGGGCCAAAUCUCUAAGAGACAAAGAAACUGGGACUUACAGAGACUAAGUAAAGUGCUCAGGGUCAAGGAAUGACACAGCCUGGACGGACUUGAGACGUCUGUCUCAGAGCUGGUGCUCUGAAGCUCAACAGUAAGCACUUCCCAAGAUAAGGAAAUGGACCCCAGGGAACAGUAGAAAGAGCUAUUCACUGGUCUCCAUUUCCACAUCUGAUAAAGAUGAACACUUUGAGGUAUCUUCUGAAAUUUUCAGUGAUCCUAUGAAGUCUUCUCUAUGUGGGAUUCUGUGUUCCUCAGAGGCCUCCAAUGGAGAAGAAGGCAAGAACUAGUCCUUAGAAUAAUCUAUGGAGAAAGAGACAAACAAGUAUAUCUUACCUGGACUUAUCUGAGCCUCCAUGAACCAAGUCCUGCAUUUGAAAGGAUUGCAUAGAGCUUUCCCAUGUAAGUCAUGUGUAAAGACAUACAAGCUUUCUACUUGCUACAAAUUAAGGCCAAAAAUCCUGGAAUGAUAUAUACCAGACCAUAUAGAGGACUCCAUGCCAGCAAACUGCCAACUCACAAACCAUAAGCCCAGCAAAGUUCCCCAGCAAAGCACUCUCUGGUCUCUGUGUACAGGUAUAGGAAAGGGGACUAAAAAAUUUUAUCAAGUUUUGAAAUCUAGGUAAAUCAAAACAAAUAAGGGCUUCGUUGAAUUAGGUCUAGUAGACUACUUAAAUGUGGGCUAAGUGGCCUGGUAUGGAGUAGCAGUUUUCACACUUACAUGUUUAACAAUAGAACUCUUGGAAAACAAAAUCUCAAAUAGAUUUUUACUCUGUUUAUGAGAUAAGAUGGGAGUUUCUCAGAUUUUAUAGGAGGGAUGCCCUCCUCCCCCAAUCACCUCUGUUCCCAAUACCACUGAGGCAGCUCCAGAACCCCCCUGAGAUUUAUAAGCUCCCUUCUAUAUUUUGGGAGAACUCUAUAUUUACAUUCACAUUCAGUAAAUUUUGAAGACAAGUUUUAAAGUAACAACAAAUUACAGUUUAAUCAAAUUAAUAUAUUGUUUUAGUGAUACAGAAUUUAAAUUGGUCAAUUCCAAGUUAAUGAUGUUUGGCUGAUUUUAUGUACUACAAGUAUGAUAGAAUUUGAAAAUAAAGCUGUUUAUAGUAGAGCUUUUCAAAUAUUCACAGAAUAGGUAGACUAUUUAAUGAAUCUCUAUGCAUUAAUUACCAGGUUUCACUAGUUCUCCCCCAUUUUUGUCUGUCUCAAAUUCUCUUCUCAUUUUUUUCUUUAGUGUAUUUUAAAGCAAAUCCCAGACACUGUUAUUUCACCCAUACAUACUUCAGUAUUCAUUUCUAAGAAACAGCACUUUAAAAAAAAACUACAUGUCAUUAUGAUACCUGACAAGACUAAUAAUACCACUUCAAUACAGUUGUGAUAUUUUAAUUUUUGAAUUUUAAUCUAAUUAGUGUUUUUCCAAAUAUAUUUUGAAGAAUAUUCAUUUUGAUAUACACUAGUAUUUUUAGAUUAAAGCAUUUCAUGGUCAAAUUAUUCCUGCUAUAAAGUUAAAUUCUCCACCUACAAGACUUCUUAAAAUUUGCAUAGGUUAAUUUCCAUGAGACUCUCAAAGAAAGGAGUAGGAUAUCAGAAAGUUUGAAAUUUAUUUGACUACUAGUACAUUAGUUUUUCAUGGAGUAUGAGACAGGACAAGGGUACUACAUAAUAUAUUGGUGUAGAAAGCAGAUUACAAUCCCUGGAGUGUACAUUUUCAAAGAAACUUCACAUCCAUAUCCCUUAGAAAAGUAAGGACCCAACUUUACUCUCACUGGGCAGUAACUGUAGAUGUUGGAUGGAUACUGAUUGUCAUAAUACCAGGCACCAAAGAUGCUGCUGGAAAGAGGUCUGCAAUCUAAUUAUCACCAGCUUGAGCCCUAAAUUACUAAUCAUCUAUUACUCUAUCAGUUCUGUUCACUUUCACAUGUUGCUUGCUUGCAGAAGUUCAAGACGGGGGUUAAAUAACCACGUGCUCCUAGCUACUGGCCAUAGCUAUCACAUGGUCCAGUCUCCAAGUUGGGGGGUGGAUGCCAUGUUGAAACUUCACAUUACCUUAAGCUCAUUAUAAUUUCAUUGUGAUGAUUUAAAAAGCACAUCCACUGGCACCAGGACAGAUCCACCAUGAUGCCCCAAAUUAGUGAAGAACAGAGGUAGUAUCCUGAUCCCUGGAUAUCUUCUCCCCUUUCUGUCAAAAGUUCUGAUGACAGUACGCAUAUCACACCCCCUCAUAACCCAGCCCCAGUAAAAAAGAAAAAAAAGAGACCCCAGACCUGCUCCAGGAGAAGACUCCCAAAGAACCUGAGGUCUUCUUUUCCAUACAUUGAUGGUUGGGUAAAAUUUCCCUGCCUGUUCCUCCCAGUAGAGAUCUUCUUUCCAGGAGGUAUACGAUGAAAGUAAACUUGGGCAGGGCCUGGAAGGUUAAGUAGAAGAGAGGAAAAUAUCUGGAAUACGACUGAAUAACACAGAUAAGAAUACAAGGCUCUGAAUGAUAAUGUUUUUAGGAAGCAGUGAGACAGCCCAGGCAGGCUGGGGAGAGGUGGGAAGUGAGUCCCGAUAGAACGUGGUGGUAUGAUGUCAAACUAUUUGAGAGCAGGGACUGUAGCUUUUAUAACACCCUUCCAAAUAUAUAACUUAAACACAGAAGGCCCAAAUAAACAGAUGUUUAUAUAUUGAAUUACACUGAAUAUAAUGAGCCAUAUAUUUAUGUAUCUCAGAAUAAAUUCAUUGAACAAUGACAUAGCAUUUUACCUUUUAUAGGAAAGACCCUAGGUUUGUGGACUGCAGGAAGUGAGGAAAGAAAUAAAAGACUAGAAACACGGGAUAUCUGGGGGCAGAAGUUACCAAAAUAGAGCUCUGUAAUGAUAAUGAUAGCUGGAGAAUUUAGAGGAAGGGCUGAAUUGGUAAAACAAGAGCCUGAGGGCAUUGAACUUCUCUGGGACAACAAGGCAAGAAGAAAAGAAGAUUAUCAAAGAGAAGUAGAAUGUCUUUACUUGAGUAGAAAAUGGAAUUUUAUUUUAAAGAGGAUUUGGGGUUUUAGAAUAGGUCCUGCCAUUAAAUAAUGUACAUCAUCUAGAGCUUUGCUACUCAAAGGAUUGCUCCCAAGCUGGUACAAAUCCUCAAGUUGUGUUUCUCAUCAGCAAUGAAUAAAUAUUAGAGUUGUGGGAAAGCCACAUGAACUGACUAGACAUCCAAGCAAGUGAUUAUUUUCUAGUAAUUAACAUUUAUUUCAUUUUUACAAAUGUAUCAACUUAAAUAAUGUUAACAAAACAAUAGUGUUUCACCACAGAUGGGUUGAGAAGUAGAAUCUAGAGAUAAUUCGCACAUGCUUUUAGGAGUAUGUCUUCUCUCUCAGCCAGUUUUUUGUUCUGUAUUAAAACAAGUAAUCACUUCUUUGUUAGAGAGAAAGCUGGUUUGCACCUAUAAGAUGGCUGUUUAAUUAGGUUAUGCAUCAAAUUGUUAGAAGUCAUACUUGGCAUAGGGAGGUGCUCCCACUUGGAGAAACACAGACAACAACUGGGAGAAACUGGAGUUACCCCAUUCAUUCCCACUGAGUAAAAUAACAGGAAGAAUUCUCAGCCUUGGACAAAUUAUUGUCUCAUUCUAUCUUGCUUUCCUACUUCCCAUUCCAUCCUUUAUAUUGGCCACAUGCACUUAAUAUUUUGCCACUACACAAUGUGACUUCAUUGUAUAGGAUCUUUGUUCACAAAAUACUCUAGCAUUUUCUUUUUUGAUGUGUUCAUCCUAACAGAAACAAAGGUAGGCAUAAGCUGCCACCACUAUCCCAUUUUAGAGAAGAAGACACUGAUACACAGAGAAGAUACCUUUGGAACCCACAUCUUCUGAUUGCCUGCUAAGCGGUCUUGACUUUUGGCCAAAGUAGGAAGCAGCUGGGCACAGUCUCAUAGGUUCCAAAGUACUUUAAAACUGUAAAUGAAGCAGUGUGUGGAGCCAGUAUGGAAUCUGGCAGAAGCUAGAAGGCUCUCACCAAUGGCCAAACACAGGCACCCACCCAGUCUUGAACUUUUAAUUUCAAAAACUGCAAGGAGAGAGGACAUCGCUAUCAAAUUCCUUGUGCAACAUCUAAAAGUCCUUAUUAUAACAAAAUCUGGUCAUUAUAGCUUUUAACUACUGGAUACUAGGCACAAUUAAAAGGAAAAAAAAAGACUCUCACAGGGCAUGUUCCCAGUCAUUUACAAAUUCCAUGCACACAUCAAGUAACUACUGAAGUGCAACUGACAAGAAAAUUGAAGACAGAUUGGAUAAUAAAAGAUACUGAGGAAAGAUAAACAUGGACCAUUUACUUUGGUCAAUAAUUCACUGACACAAAGCUAUUGCCACAUUUAAGUUAUAUUACCAACUAGGAUGUUUGGUGAGUUGAAAUAUUUGCUUUAACCAAUAUUUUAGUUGAUAUAGGUUGAAUUAAUCCUUUACAGUUCAAUUAUUUGUUUAGUAGCUUGGAGGGAGAUUUUCUCAGCAGAGCAUGAUCCCUAUUAUUUUUCAAUUUUUAAAACUCAUUUCCUUUUUUGUCUUAAUUUUUUGCCUACAAAUGCCAUUAAAAUGUGAAAGAAAAGUGGUGAUAGCGGCAUAUUUUUACUGACUUUAAAGGAAAUGCUUCCUAUUUUAUCAAGUAGGAUGUUUCUUUAAAUUUGAGGAAGAAUAACAAAGUGUCCUUUUUUAUCCCAGUUUGCCAAGAAACUUUUGUGAAUGGUGUUAACCUUAAUGCUUUUUCCUGUAUCUAUUUAUAUGAAUAUAUUGGGUUUUCUCUUACUAUGUAUUGACUGUGUAUGCAUAAAUAUACUUUUGGAGAUUGAACCAUCCUCACAUGGCUGGUACAAGGCUGAUUUUCACUUACUCUUGGGUAACAUCUCUUGUCAGUUUCCCUAAGAUCAUAAUCAAUAGCCUGGUCCUAGUUAAAUUUCAUCUAGUUCUUUGAGUAAUUUUUUUUCAUACAUCAAAUAUGAUAUUUUUUUCUCCCCUGACUAGUCUUCCAUGCUUUUCUUUCCCCCAACACACCCACUUUGUCAUAUUAUGGUCUACUACACUUAACACUUUCUUGGAGAAAGUUUAUUUAGAUAUACCCUACUCCUUAGAACACCCACUACUAGUCCUUUGAUAGCACUUAGAUUAAAUUGUGAUUACAUGUUUAAUUUUGUUCUUAUCUAAAAUAUACUUUACACUCAGUGGGAGAAGAUAUUAGAUGUUUUUCACUAAACUUUCCUCUAUAUCCCUAGAAUACUAGAAGAAAUCCAUAAAUGUUGAAGGGUGGAAGGAAGGGAAGAAAAAAUGAAAGGAAGGAAGGAAGGAAAGGAAGAAAGAAAGAAAAGGAAAGAGAAUCUGGAGUGGGAAAGCAAGACCAUCUUCAACACAAAUUUCUGUGUGUCACCCUUGUGAAGAAUUGCAAGGCACUAUUCAUACUCAGCAUUCCAAAAAUUACCAUUUUACAGUAUGAUUCUGGCAGUUCCAGUACAGACUCUGCAACAUACAUACUCUGAUGUUAAAAUGCCAGCAGCACUGAGAUUCUUGGAAAGUCCUAGAGAACAGAGGAAGAAGAAAACAUGUGGAAGAAAAGAUAAGAAGAGCAGCAUUACUUCUAGGACAACCCUAGUGGGGAUAAAAGUCAGAAGUGCUGAAAAUAAGCAAAAGAUGAGCUUGUUUCUUGUCCUUUUUCCAGGCAUAUAAAGUAAUAUUUCAGUGCCAAUAUUAUGUUUUCCUUCCUUCCUACUCCAUUCUUCCUUCUCACCCCUUGGUUUAUGCUGCCAUCAGUUCAUGUCAGUGUCCUUGUCUUCCUGUCCCUGUUUAUCUUCUUCCUGGGAAUAUUCUCAUGCACUUCCUUCUCCCUCCUCACUUCAGCCAAGUUCAUCAAUUUGACUCCCCUGUGAAUCCCACCUUCAUAACAUAACAGGAAGUAUAUCAAAUACACUAGAUCGAACCAUUGGAGUGAUUCUGCCUCAGGUUUCUUUCUUUCCCAAAAGACACAGGUUGAAAGGGAUCUUGCAUAUUCUUGCAAUCCAGCCUUGUUUCUCAUCGUAUUUGGAUCCAGCCACUUACACAGGCUUCUAAAUGUGAGGAAAUCUCCCUGGUUUUUCUUGUCUUUGUUCUUCCAUUCUUGUCAUCUACUUGGUUACAGUAUCCUGACCAGAUGCUGAAUUUCACUGACUCUUCAUUGGCUUGAAUACAGUCUUUAAACGUUCCUAGUCUUUUCAUUCACCUCUGCCCCUCCCCCCACUACUUUGACCUUAUUCUUUUGUAAAU
Long non-coding RNA from Heterocephalus glaber (naked mole-rat), 9817 nucleotides. The record is from Ensembl. NCBI's taxonomy places the organism in Eukaryota, Metazoa, Chordata, Mammalia, Rodentia, Bathyergidae.